This 484-nucleotide ribosomal RNA is filed under the name uncultured bacterium. RNAcentral describes it as "partial 16S ribosomal RNA". It matches the Rfam family "Bacterial small subunit ribosomal RNA", at positions 30 to 507 of the family's 1533-position model. The record is from RNAcentral.
AUUGAACGCUGGCGGCAGGCCUAACACAUGCAAGUCGAGCGGAUGAGGGGAGCUUGCUCCUGGAUUCAGCGGCGGACGGGUGAGUAAUGCCUAGGAAUCUGCCUGGUAGUGGGGGAUAACGUCCGGAAACGGGCGCUAAUACCGCAUACGUCCUGAGGGAGAAAGUGGGGGAUCUUCGGACCUCACGCUAUCAGAUGAGCCUAGGUCGGAUUAGCUAGUUGGUGGGGUAAAGGCCUACCAAGGCGACGAUCCGUAACUGGUCUGAGAGGAUGAUCAGUCACACUGGAACUGAGACACGGUCCAGACUCCUACGGGAGGCAGCAGUGGGGAAUAUUGGACAAUGGGCGAAAGCCUGAUCCAGCCAUGCCGCGUGUGUGAAGAAGGUCUUCGGAUUGUAAAGCACUUUAAGUUGGAAGGAAGGGCAGUAAGUUAAUACCUUGCUGUUUUGACGUUACCAACAGAAUAAGCACCGGCUAACUUCGUG